GAUGAACGCUGGCGGCGUGCCUAAUACAUGCAAGUCGAGCGAACAGAUGAGGAGCUUGCUCCUCUGACGUUAGCGGCGGACGGGUGAGUAACACGUGGAUAACCUACCUAUAAGACUGGGAUAACUUCGGGAAACCGGAGCUAAUACCGGAUAAUAUAUUGAACCGCAUGGUUCAAUAGUGAAAGACGGUUUUGCUGUCACUUAUAGAUGGAUCCGCGCCGCAUUAGCUAGUUGGUAAGGUAACGGCUUAUCAAGGCAACGAUGCGUAGCCGACCUGAGAGGGUGAUCGGCCACACUGGAACUGAGACACGGUCCAGACUCCUACGGGAAGCAGCAGUAGGGAAUCUUCCGCAAUGGGCGAAAGCCUGACGGAGCAACGCCGCGUGAGUGAUGAAGGUCUUCGGAUCGUAAAACUCUGUUAUUAGGGAAGAACAAAUGUGUAAGUAACUAUGCACGUCUUGACGGUACCUAAUCAGAAAGCCACGGCUAACUACGUG
RNAcentral lists this ribosomal RNA (497 nucleotides) under uncultured bacterium. RNAcentral describes it as "partial 16S ribosomal RNA". It matches the Rfam family "Bacterial small subunit ribosomal RNA", at positions 28 to 507 of the family's 1533-position model. The record is from RNAcentral.